GAUAAACGCUGGCGGCGUGCCUAACACAUGCAAGUCGAACGCCCUUUUGCGCAAGUGAGAGGGAGUGGCGGACGGGUGAGUACCACGUGGGUACCUACCUUGAGGUGAGGAAUACCACCGAGAAAUCGGUGACAAGACCGCAUACGCUCGGGCAACCGAGCAAAGUCAUGCAAAUGACGCCACAAGAUGAGCCUGCGCCUGAUUAGCUGGUUGGUGAGGUAACAGCUCACCAAGGCGACGAUCAGUAGCUGGUCUGAGAGGAUGAUCAGCCACACUGGGAUUGAGAAC
RNAcentral lists this ribosomal RNA (288 nucleotides) under uncultured bacterium. RNAcentral's name for it is "partial 16S ribosomal RNA". It matches the Rfam family "Bacterial small subunit ribosomal RNA", at positions 28 to 326 of the family's 1533-position model. The record is from RNAcentral.